UAUUGUAUCAUCACAAUUCCUCUCUCCAGUUCAAUUCAGAGAUCCAGUUUACAAGAAAAAAGAAAUCAAGACAUAAAUCUCCAUGAUCAAUUAGAAGCAAAUCCUAACUAGCAAAUGAUUUAAAACCAUUAUUCCUCUCCAUAUCAAUCAAGCGUUUUUUUCAAAACCCAUUUCUUCGGAGUUUCCGUUUUCAAUAUUUUUCAGAAUACCUUCAGGUGGAUUUAUUUUCAGGUGGAGUGAAAGUUUGGUCAUAGAAAAGGUAAUAGAUGCAGCUAUGGACCUCCAUACUGAGUGUGAACUGUCCAGUCUGCUGGCUUAGGGCUGGAGUAAUGGACCUGGUUGGAGAUAGUUUUUCGAAAAAUGAAGGCAUAGAUGGUAACAUCUUACCUUCAACUUAGUGUUGAAGCUUUGAUCUGGUCCUUAUGCUUGUAAUAGGAAUAUCCGAAUAUAGGUUAAGCUUUUCCAACUUAGUGUUGAAGUUUUUCAGACUUGGAACUUGCAGUAAUUUAGAUAGUUGAUAUUGUAAACUGAAUAAACUUUUCAAUACAACUUGAUUUUUAAAGUCAU
Long non-coding RNA from Papaver somniferum (opium poppy), 567 nucleotides. RefSeq lists it as uncharacterized. The transcript has 4 exons. The record is from RefSeq and is a predicted model, not a curated record. NCBI's taxonomy places the organism in Eukaryota, Viridiplantae, Streptophyta, Magnoliopsida, Ranunculales, Papaveraceae.